This 68-nucleotide ribosomal RNA is filed under the name uncultured fungus. RNAcentral's name for it is "partial 18S ribosomal RNA". Lineage: Eukaryota; Fungi. The record is from RNAcentral.
CUUGGUGAUUUAGAGGAAGUAAAAGACGGAAGAAGGUUGCGGUAGGUGAAGCUGCGGAAGGAGCAAAA